GAGUUUGAUCCUGGCUCAGGACGAACGCUGGCGGCGCGCCUAACACAUGCAAGUCGAACGGAGCUUAGAGAGCUUGCUUUUUAAGCUUAGUGGCGAACGGGUGAGUAACGCGUGAGUAACCUGCCCUAGAGUGGGGGACAACAGUUGGAAACGACUGCUAAUACCGCAUAAGCCCACGGUACCGCAUGGUACUGAGGGAAAAGGAUUUAUUCGCUUUAGGAUGGACUCGCGUCCAAUUAGCUAGUUGGUGAGGUAACGGCCCACCAAGGCGACGAUUGGUAGCCGGACUGAGAGGUUGAACGGCCACAUUGGGACUGAGACACGGCCCAGACUCCUACGGGAGGCAGCAGUGGGGGAUAUUGCACAAUGGGGGAAACCCUGAUGCAGCGACGCCGCGUGAGUGAAGAAGUAUCUCGGUAUGUAAAGCUCUAUCAGCAGGGAAGAAAAUGACGGUACCUGACUAAGAAGCCCCGGCUAACUACGUGCCAGCCGCCGCGGUAAUAC
This 504-nucleotide ribosomal RNA is filed under the name uncultured bacterium. Its description in RNAcentral is "bacterial SSU rRNA". It matches the Rfam family "Bacterial small subunit ribosomal RNA", at positions 9 to 526 of the family's 1533-position model. The record is from RNAcentral.